UGAGGAAUAUUGGUCAAUGGACGCAAGUCUGAACCAGCCAUGCCGCGUGAAGGAUGAAGGCCUUCUGGGUUGUAAACUUCUUUUAUUGGGGAAGAAAAUUACGGUUUCUACUGUAACCGACGGUACCCAAGGAAUAAGCACCGGCUAACUCCGUGCC
Molecule: ribosomal RNA, 157 nt
Filed under: uncultured bacterium
Lineage: Bacteria
Description: partial 16S ribosomal RNA
Rfam family: Bacterial small subunit ribosomal RNA
Source: RNAcentral